This 486-nucleotide ribosomal RNA is filed under the name uncultured bacterium. RNAcentral describes it as "bacterial SSU rRNA". It matches the Rfam family "Bacterial small subunit ribosomal RNA", at positions 28 to 507 of the family's 1533-position model. The record is from RNAcentral.
GAUGAACGCUAGCUACAGGCUUAACACAUGCAAGUCGAGGGGCAGCGCAGUGUAGCAAUGCAUGGGCGGCGACCGGCGCACGGGUGCGUAACGCGUAUCCAACCUUCCCGUUACUCAGGGAUAGCCUUCCGAAAGGGAGAUUAAUACCUGAUGGUGUUCGAAUUCCGCAUGUUAUUUGAACUAAAGAUUUAUCGGUAACGGAUGGGGAUGCGUGACAUUAGGUAGAUGGCGGGGUAACGGCCCACCAUGCCUACGAUGUCUAGGGGUUCUGAGAGGAAGGUCCCCCACACUGGAACUGAGACACGGUCCAGACUCCUACGGGAGGCAGCAGUGAGGAAUAUUGGUCAAUGGCCGGAAGGCUGAACCAGCCAAGUAGCGUGAAGGAUGAAGGUUCUAUGGAUUGUAAACUUCUUUUAUACGGGAAUAAAACCACCUACGUGUAGGUGCUUGUAUGUACCGUAUGAAUAAGCAUCGGCUAACUCCGUG